UUCGAGCGUCAUUACAACCCUCAAGCAUUGCUUGGUAUUAGGCCCCGCUGCUCACCCAGCGGGCCUUAAAAUCAGUGGCGGUGCAUCGGGCCCUGAGCGUAGUAAAUAUCCUCGCUAUAGGGACCCCGUGGACGCUAGCCAUCAACCCCCAACUUUCUAAGUUUGACCUCGGAUCAGGUAGGGAUACCCGCUGAACUUAA
Molecule: unclassified non-coding RNA, 200 nt
Filed under: soil metagenome
Description: partial contains internal transcribed spacer 2 and large subunit ribosomal RNA
Source: RNAcentral